CAGAAUAUUAGAUGAUUAAUAAAAUAUUUGAUAACUAAUAUUAUAAAAUAAAAUAUGAUGUGAUAUAUAUGAUAUAAAAUAUCUAAGUAAUUUAUUAUACUACACAAAUUUAUCUCUGAUGUAUAUUUUAAAGUCUGUUUACGAUGUAAUAAUCACGUCCAAAAUUUCUAUUUAAUAUGCAGCAACUUUUGUUGAUUUAUACCUUACUACAACAAAAACGGUCUAUAGCGACACUUUUAAAUAUCGGUACAGGUCAAAAAAAGUGCUGCUGGCUAAAUUACCGACAUUUUUAAAAAGUGUUGCUAUAUGUGGGGUUGCUAGGUAUAUAGUGAUAGUUCAAGAGUGUCGGUAUAAUCUAAAAGAGUCCUGUUAAUUUACUAACACUUAUUUAAGUAUUUAGCAACUGCCGGAAUUCUACCUCGUUGGCUGCGGUGGCGGAGGAUGAGGAGAGGAAAGGGCUCUUCGUCUAGAAUUUUAAUGGAUUGAGUGAGGGGAGAAGGAGAGAUGGUAAUUGAUUUUUUUUUUGUUUUGUUUUAUGUUUGUAAUCGGAUCGAAUGGGCUGGGUGGGAUGGAUUGAGUAGAGUAAUCUUUUAUUUUUGGUUGGAUUAGGCUUUAUAUUUAGGCAUUAGUAGAUUUUUUUUUUAAGUUUUGACAUAAAUGAAACACUUACACAAAAAUAUCUCAAAUAUAUGUCGCUAUAAUCUAAUUCGGUUGUAGUGUGGCAAUAUGCAUGGCUCUCUCACAAAGCAUUCUUUCCAUGAUUUC
Molecule: long non-coding RNA, 765 nt
Filed under: Ananas comosus (pineapple)
Lineage: Eukaryota; Viridiplantae; Streptophyta; Magnoliopsida; Poales; Bromeliaceae
Description: long non-coding RNA (ACOM_LNC009440)
Source: RNAcentral